UGGGUUUUGAAUUUGCAGUAACAGGUGUGAGCAUUCUAGCAGCAGUUUGAUGAUCAUGUAUGAUACUGCAAACAG
RNAcentral lists this microRNA precursor (75 nucleotides) under Cervus hanglu yarkandensis (Yarkand deer). RNAcentral's name for it is "miRNA (ENSCHYG00000018792.1)". It matches the Rfam family "Small Cajal body specific RNA 16", at positions 111 to 185 of the family's 187-position model. From Rfam's summary of the family: scaRNAs are a specific class of small nuclear RNAs which localise to the Cajal bodies and guide the modification of RNA polymerase II transcribed spliceosomal RNAs U1, U2, U4, U5 and U12. ACA47 belongs to the H/ACA box class of guide RNAs as it has the predicted hairpin-hinge-hairpin-tail structure, the conserved H/ACA-box motifs and is found associated with GAR1. ACA47 is predicted to guide the pseudouridylation of residue U5 of the U1 spliceosomal snRNA. The record is from RNAcentral. Lineage: Eukaryota; Metazoa; Chordata; Mammalia; Artiodactyla; Cervidae.